GAGGUCGCUGGUCCACAGGCCGCCGUCGACGGAGUUGCGGCCGCCCGCAUCGACGGUGGUGAGGCUGGUCGCGUCGAUCGACUCGGCGGCGACCUUG
RNAcentral lists this transfer RNA (97 nucleotides) under Saccharothrix algeriensis. Its description in RNAcentral is "tRNA-Arg". The record is from RNAcentral. Lineage: Bacteria; Bacillati; Actinomycetota; Actinomycetes; Pseudonocardiales; Pseudonocardiaceae. RNAcentral also lists the same sequence under 1 other name.